UGGGGAAUUUUGGACAAUGGGCGAAAGCCUGAUCCAGCCAUGCCGCGUGAGUGAAGAAGGCCUUCGGGUUGUAAAGCUCUUUUAGUCGGAAAGAAAAGAUCAUAAUGAACAAUUAUGAUUCAUGACGGUACCGACAGAAAAAGCACCGGCUAACUACGUGCCAGCAGCCGCGGUAAUACGUAGGGUGCGAGCGUUAAUCGGAAUUACUGGGCGUAAAGGGUGCGCAGGCGGUUUUGUAAGUCAGAUGUGAAAUCCCCGGGCUUAACCUGGGAAUUGCGUUUGAAACUGCAAGACUAGAGUGCAGCAGAGGGGAGUGGAAUUCCAUGUGUAGCAGUGAAAUGCGUAGAGAUGUGGAAGAACACCGAUGGCGAAGGCAGCUCCCUGGGUUGACACUGACGCUCA
RNAcentral lists this ribosomal RNA (402 nucleotides) under uncultured bacterium. Its description in RNAcentral is "bacterial SSU rRNA". It matches the Rfam family "Bacterial small subunit ribosomal RNA", at positions 355 to 749 of the family's 1533-position model. The record is from RNAcentral.